CGGGGGCGGGCCGCCGCCCCUGCCCCUGCCGCGGGGAGCGCCGCGCGGAGGGCCGCCGCC
This 60-nucleotide non-coding RNA is filed under the name uncultured Vannella. The record is from RNAcentral. Lineage: Eukaryota; Discosea; Flabellinia; Vannellidae.